This 497-nucleotide ribosomal RNA is filed under the name uncultured bacterium. RNAcentral describes it as "partial 16S ribosomal RNA". It matches the Rfam family "Bacterial small subunit ribosomal RNA", at positions 28 to 507 of the family's 1533-position model. The record is from RNAcentral.
GAUGAACGCUGGCGGCGUGCCUAAUACAUGCGAGUCGAGCGAACGGACGAGAAGCUUGCUUCUCUGAUGUUAGCGGCGGACGGGUGAGUAACACGUGGAUAACCUACCUAUAAGACUGGGAUAACUUCGGGAAACCGGAGCUAAUACCGGAUGAUAUUUUGAACCGCAUGGUUCAAAAGUGAAAGACGGUCUUGCUGUCACUUAUAGAUGGAUCCGCGCUGCAUUAGCUAGUUGGUAAGAUAACGGCUUACCAAGGCAACGAUGCAUAGCCGACCUGAGAGGGUGAUCGGCCACACUGGAACUGAGACACGGUCCAGACUCCUACGGGAGGCAGCAGUAGGGAAUCUUCCGCAAUGGGCGAAAGCCUGACGGAGCAACGCCGCGUGAGUGAUGAAGGUCUUCGGAUCGUAAAACUCUGUUAUUAGGGAAGAACAUAUGUGUAAGUAACUGUGCACAUCUUGACGGUACCUAAUCAGAAAGCCACGGCUAACUACGUG